Molecule: non-coding RNA, 21 nt
Organism: Caenorhabditis elegans
Lineage: Eukaryota; Metazoa; Nematoda; Chromadorea; Rhabditida; Rhabditidae
Source: Ensembl
UGCAUUGACUUCUAAAGCAAU